CCGACGGUGAGGGGCGAAAGCUGGGGGCACGAACCGGAUUAGAUACCCGGGUAGUCCCAGCCGUAAACGAUGCUCGCUAGGUGUCAGGCAUGGCGCGACCGUGUCUGGUGCCGCAGGGAAGCCGUGAAGCGAGCCACCUGGGAAGUACGGCCGCAAGGCUGAAACUUAAAGGAAUUGGCGGGGGAGCACAACAACGGGUGGAGCCUGCGGUUUAAUUGGACUCAACGCCGGACAACUCACCGGGGGCGACAGCAAUAUGUAGGCCAAGCUGAAGACUUUGCCUGAAUCGCUGAGAGGAGGUGCAUGGCCGUCGCCAGUUCGUACUG
This 326-nucleotide ribosomal RNA is filed under the name uncultured archaeon. RNAcentral describes it as "bacterial SSU rRNA". It matches the Rfam family "Archaeal small subunit ribosomal RNA", at positions 691 to 1016 of the family's 1478-position model. The record is from RNAcentral.